UUCAUUUGCUACCGUCAAAUACCUACACGUAGGUACCAUUCUUGGCAACAAAAGCAGUUUACAACCCAUAGGGCCGUCAUCCUGCACGCGGGAUGGCUGGUUCAGGCUUGCGCCCAUUGACCAAUAUUCCUCA
This 133-nucleotide ribosomal RNA is filed under the name uncultured bacterium. Its description in RNAcentral is "partial 16S ribosomal RNA". The record is from RNAcentral.